UGUACUUAGGAAAGGGUCAGUGUAACAGUUCCCUUCUUCACAUUUCCAAGAGUCCAAAAGCUGCAAAAGCCACACCCGUUCAGAUCUCUCCUCCUGUUCGUAUCUGGUUAAAAUCUGCAUCUUCUGAAAGACUUUAAUGCUCCUUCUGCUACCUGGAUAUCUAGUUUAACAUCACUGGCUUCUCAAAUGUCAUGCUUAAAAUAGGCUUUAACUUUCUAAUACUGAGUGAAUACUGUUGGAGAUUCAGAAAAUCCACAGUUUGAAUGGAUUUCUUGUUCAUCUUAUGGAACCUCAGGUUUAAUUCAAUGAAGCUGAUGACCUGGUGACCUUUGUGGUGUCCUGAUAGUCUCCAGAAUGCAAACCUUCAAACAGAGAUGCUGAAAAGUAAAAUUAUUCAUCAGAUCUAAAGAGCAGAUGAGAAGUCGCUCAAAGGAGAAGACAAUUGUAUGGAGCAAAAUGCAGACAAUUGGAAUGAAUACAUGGUACUGUACACUGAUCCACUUUCCUUUGUUUCCUCUUUCCAUGAUAACGAAAUCAAUCAGCCUUAUGGACAAUGGUCAGAUAUAACCAGGGAGCCCUCAUUGCAUUAAUCCAUCUUCCAGUGCCUAAAAAGGGUUUGUAAGAGAGCUGGAGAGUGGCUUCCUUUAGAGGCAUGUACAAAUAGGACAAAGUAAUGACUCCAAACUGAAAGGGAGUAGGUUUAGGUCAGAUAUUGGGAAGAAAUUCUUUACUGUG
Long non-coding RNA from Lepidothrix coronata (blue-crowned manakin), 735 nucleotides. RefSeq lists it as uncharacterized. The transcript is spliced from 4 exons. NCBI's taxonomy places the organism in Eukaryota, Metazoa, Chordata, Aves, Passeriformes, Pipridae. The record is from RefSeq and is a predicted model, not a curated record.